RNAcentral lists this ribosomal RNA (253 nucleotides) under uncultured bacterium. RNAcentral describes it as "partial 16S ribosomal RNA". It matches the Rfam family "Bacterial small subunit ribosomal RNA", at positions 524 to 776 of the family's 1533-position model. The record is from RNAcentral.
UACGUAGGUGGCAAGCGUUGUCCGGAUUUACUGGGCGUAAAGAGCGCGCAGGCGGUCAGAUAAGUCGAAUGUGAAAGCCCCCGGCUCAACUGGGGAGGGUCAUUCGAUACUGUUCGACUCGAAGGCAGGAGAGGGAAGCGGAAUUCCCGGUGUAGUGGUGAAAUGCGUAGAUAUCGGGUGGAACACCAGUGGCGAAGGCGGCUUCCUGGCCUGUUCUUGACGCUGAGGCGCGAAAGCUAGGGGAGCAAACGGG